This 372-nucleotide unclassified non-coding RNA is filed under the name Hevea brasiliensis (rubber tree). Lineage: Eukaryota; Viridiplantae; Streptophyta; Magnoliopsida; Malpighiales; Euphorbiaceae. The record is from RNAcentral.
AAAAAAGGUUUUGUUAAGAAUGGGGUUUUUUGAAAAUUUUGUACACCUUAUCAUGCAAUGUAUAACAAUUGUUUCCUACUAUGUUACUGUUAUUGAAUUUUUCUUUCCCCUCUUCUCUCUUCGAAAGAGUCAAAGCAGGGAGAUCUAUCGUCUCCAUCUCUCUUUUUAUUUAUUUCCAAUGCACUUUCCCAUAUGAUUCAAUACGCAGCAGAGUCAGGGGCCAUCAAAUGCUUCCAACUCAACAAAAGAUGCCCAUCAAUAUCACAUAUCCUGUUUGUUGAUCAUAUGUUGAUAGUUGGUAAUGCCUCAACUGAGGUAGCACAAGCCUUUUAUGGACAACAUCUUUGAUACCUUGAAAUGAAAAUAAGUAGA